RNAcentral lists this transfer RNA (83 nucleotides) under Lentinula lateritia. Its description in RNAcentral is "tRNA-Arg". It matches the Rfam family "tRNA". From Rfam's summary of the family: Transfer RNA (tRNA) molecules are approximately 80 nucleotides in length. Their secondary structure includes four short double-helical elements and three loops (D, anti-codon, and T loops). Lineage: Eukaryota; Fungi; Basidiomycota; Agaricomycetes; Agaricales; Omphalotaceae. The record is from RNAcentral.
GGCUACCUAGCGCAAUGGUAGCGCGUUUGGCUUCGAUUGCUGAACUUACCAAAAGGUUGCAGGUUCGAGUCCUGCGGUGGUCA